RNAcentral lists this ribosomal RNA (292 nucleotides) under uncultured microorganism. Its description in RNAcentral is "partial 16S ribosomal RNA". It matches the Rfam family "Bacterial small subunit ribosomal RNA", at positions 505 to 796 of the family's 1533-position model. The record is from RNAcentral.
GUGCCAGCAGCCGAAGUAAUACGCAAGGUGCAAUCCGUAAUCCGAAUUACUGGGCGUAAAGCGCACGCUUGUUGUUUGUUAAGUCAGAUGUGCAAUCCCCGCGCUCAACCUGGGAACUGCAUCUGAUACUGGCAAGCUUGAGUCUCGUAGAGGGGGGUAGAAUUCCAGGUGUAGCGGUGAAAUGCGUAGAGAUCUGGAGGAAUACCGGUGGCGAAGGCGGCCCCCUGGACGAAGACUGACGCUCAGGUGCGAAAGCGUGGGGAGCAAACAGGAUUAGAUACCCUGGUAGUCC